AAAUUAAUGCACCUUAACCCUAAAUCUACGCCUUAUUUCACCCCACCCAACCCAAUUGUCUGUCUUCCUCGCCUUAUUUCUUCCAAAUCACAAUCUUUUUGUUCAGGCUGUCUAGAUCGUUGACCCACUACUACCAGAUCCCUCAAUGGCGACUUCUUGACAUUUGUAGAAAUUCGAUUUGGUCUUGUGGAAGGAUUGUAAUUUGGGAGGUUAUAGUUGCAUCUGCACGUCAUUUUAGUUGUUUCUGAAAUAAUAGUUCUAGUUGUUGCUCUUGAUCUGAGGAGGUAUGAAAUCAUAUUCUGGUUCUACGAUCGAUGCUUGGAUGGUGUGUUAAAAUGAUUGGUUUUUUCAUGUCAACAUUUUUGGGCCAAAAGUUGGAACUCUUAGAUUUCAUCACAACAACCACAAACUUGCAACAUGGUUCAAGAUACAGCUCUAGCUUUAUUAAGAAAUGAAUUCAAGAUGUUAAAGUUUUACACAUUUAUUCCUUUAUAAUUGUAGAACUUGUUUAUACUUUAAAGAAAUAUAUACCUUUGUGUU
This 540-nucleotide long non-coding RNA is filed under the name Helianthus annuus (common sunflower). RNAcentral's name for it is "hypothetical non coding rna". The record is from RNAcentral. Lineage: Eukaryota; Viridiplantae; Streptophyta; Magnoliopsida; Asterales; Asteraceae.